AGCGAACGCUGGCGGCGUGGAUAAGGCAUGCAAGUCGAGCGAUCCCCUUGUGGGAUAGCGGCAAACGGGUGAGUAACGCGUAGGUAACCUACCCCCAAGAGGGGGAUACCCCAUCGAAAGAUGGGUUAAUACCUCAUAAGCUCACUGGCAUCGCAUGAUGCUGUGGGAAAAGGUGGCUUAAAUCUUCGGAUUGCUAUCACUUAGGGAGGGACCUGCGUCCCAUCAGCUUGUUGGUAAGGUAAUGGCUUACCAAGGCAUAUGACGGGUAGCUGGUUUGAGAGGAUGACCAGUCACACUGGGACUGAGACACUGCCCAGACUCCUACGGGAGGCUGCAGUCGAGAAUCUUUGGCAAUGGGCGAAAGCCUGACCAAGCGACGCCGCGUGCAGGAUGACGGCCUUAGGGUUGUAAACUGCUGUGAUAAAAGAAGAAGGUGAUAAUCGCUAAUAUCGGUUAUUAUUUGACGGUACUUUAUCAGAAAGCCACGGCCAACUCCGUGCCAGCAGCCGCGGUAAUACGGAGGUGGCAAGCGUUGCUCGGAUUUACUGGGUGUAAAGGGUACGUAGGCGGAUCUGUAUGCCAUGCUUGAAAGGUUCAGGCUCAACCUGGACAUGUGGCGUGGAACUGCAGAACUUGAGGAUGAGAGAGGUGAGCGGAAUUCCCGGUGUAAGGGUGAAAUCUGUAGAUAUCGGGAGGAACACCAGUGGCGAAGGCGGCUCACUGGCUCAUUACUGACGCUGAGGUACGAAAGCUAGGGGAGCAAACAGGAUUAGAUACCCUGGUAGUCCUAGCCGUAAACGAUGGACACUAGGUGUUGGUUCCUUUAUGGAAUCAGUGCCGUAGCUAACGCGUUAAGUGUCCCACCUGAGGAGUACGACCGCAAGGUUGAAACUCAAAGGAAUUGACGGGGGCCAGCACAAGCGGUGGAACAUGUGGUUUAAUUCGAUGCUACGCGAAGAACCUUACCCAGGUUUGACAUGUAGGUAGUAGGAUCCUGAAAGGGUAACGACUCGUAACCAAUCGAGACCUACACAGGCGCUGCAUGGCUGUCGUCAGCUCGUGCCGUGAGGUGUUGGCUUAAGUGCCAAAACGAGCGCAACCAUUACUAAUAGUUGCCACCGGGUCCCGAAAGGGAUGCCGAGCACUCUAUUGGGACUGCCAGCGAUAAGUUGGAGGAAGGUGAUGAUGACGUCAAGUCAGUAUGGCCCUUAUGCCUGGGGCUACACACGUGUUACAAUGGCGACUACAAUGCGCAGCUACUCCGCGAGGACAAGCUAAUCGCUAAAAAGUCGCCCCAGUUCGGAUUGUAGGCUGCAAUUUGCCUACAUGAAGUUGGAAUCGCUAGUAAUGGCGGAUCAGCAACGCCGCCGUGAAUACGUUCCCUGGCCUUGUACACACCGCCCGUCAAGCGAUGGAAGCUGGGAGCACCCGAAGUCGGUAUACCAACCUGCAAGGGAGGAAGCCGCCGAAGGUGAGACUGGUGACUGGCGCU
RNAcentral lists this ribosomal RNA (1492 nucleotides) under uncultured bacterium. Its description in RNAcentral is "bacterial SSU rRNA". It matches the Rfam family "Bacterial small subunit ribosomal RNA". The record is from RNAcentral.